Molecule: ribosomal RNA, 253 nt
Filed under: uncultured bacterium
Lineage: Bacteria
Description: partial 16S ribosomal RNA
Rfam family: Bacterial small subunit ribosomal RNA
Source: RNAcentral
UACAGAGGGGGCAAGCGUUAUUCGGAAUUAUUGGGCGUAAAGGGCGCGUAGGCGGCCUGGCAAGUGGAAGGUGAAAUCCCUCGGCUUAACCGAGGAACUGCCCUCCAAACUGCUUGGCUUGAGACCGGGAGAGGUGAGUGGAAUUCCCAGUGUAGCGGUGAAAUGCGUAGAUAUUGGGAGGAACACCAGUGGCGAAGGCGGCUCACUGGACCGGUACUGACGCUGAGGUGCGAAAGCGUGGGGAGCAAACAGG